RNAcentral lists this ribosomal RNA (497 nucleotides) under uncultured bacterium. Its description in RNAcentral is "partial 16S ribosomal RNA". It matches the Rfam family "Bacterial small subunit ribosomal RNA", at positions 28 to 507 of the family's 1533-position model. The record is from RNAcentral.
GAUGAACGCUGGCGGCGUGCCUAAUACAUGCAAGUCGAGCGAACGGACGAGAAGCUUGCUUCUCUGAUGUUAGCGGCGGACGGGGGAGUAACACGUGGAUAACCUACCUAUAAGACUGGGAUAACUUCGGGAAACCGUAGCUAAUACCGGAUAAUAUUUUGAACCGCAUGGUUCAAAAGUGAAAGACGGUCUUGCUGUCACUUAUAGAUGGAUCCGCGCUGCAUUAGCUAGUUGGUAAGGUAACGGCUUACCAAGGCAACGAUGCAUAGCCGACCUGAGAGGGUGAUCGGCCACACUGGAACUGAGACACGGUCCAGACUCCUACGGGAGGCAGCAGUAGGGAAUCUUCCGCAAUGGGCGAAAGCCUGACGGAGCAACGCCGCGUGAGUGAUGAAGGUCUUCGGAUCGUAAAACUCUGUUAUUAGGGAAGGACAUAUGUGUAAGUAACUGUGCACAUCUUGACGGUACCUAAUCAGAAAGCCACGGCUAACUACGUG